RNAcentral lists this ribosomal RNA (465 nucleotides) under uncultured bacterium. RNAcentral describes it as "partial 16S ribosomal RNA". It matches the Rfam family "Bacterial small subunit ribosomal RNA", at positions 338 to 795 of the family's 1533-position model. The record is from RNAcentral.
CCUACGGGAGGCAGCAGUGGGGAAUAUUGCGCAAUGGGCGAAAGCCUGACGCAGCGACGCCGCGUGAGGGAUGAAGGUCUUCGGAUCGUAAACCUCUGUCAGCAGGGAAGAACGGUCACUGUGCUAAUCAGCAGUGAAUUGACGGUACCUGCAAAGGAAGCACCGGCUAACUCCGUUCCAGCAGCCGCGGUAAUACGGAGGGUGAGAGCGUUAAGCGGAAUUACUGGGCGUAAAGCGCUCGUAGGCGGUAUGUCAAGUCAAGGGUGAAAUCCCCGCGCUCAACGUGGGAACUGCCUUUGAAACUGGCAAACUGGAGUGUGUGAGAGGAUAGUGGAAUUCCAGGUGUAGGAGUGAAAUCCGGAGAGAUCUGGAGGAACAUCAGGGGCGAAGGCGACUAGCUGGAACAUAACUGACGCUGAGGAGCGAAAGCGUGGGUAGCAAACAGGAUUAGAUACCCGGGUAGUC